This is a long non-coding RNA of Anolis carolinensis (green anole), 796 nucleotides long. RefSeq lists it as uncharacterized. The transcript is spliced from 2 exons. The record is from RefSeq and is a predicted model, not a curated record. Lineage: Eukaryota; Metazoa; Chordata; Lepidosauria; Squamata; Anolidae.
AGCAGGGGGCGUGGUCUCCUGGGAGGUGCGUGCCCUCCGUGCCCUUAGGCCCCGGCCCCGCCCCCUCCGCAGCCUCAAAGCCUGGCUUCAAGGCAGAAAGGGAGACCAGAAAACAUAGAAGAGAUGAAUGAAUGAAGAGUGAGAAAAGAAGAUAACAAAGAAGGAAAGAGUAAAGCAUGCUGAACGUUGAGUUAGGGAAAAAGAAGUUUUAUGACAGAAUCAACCAAGUCACUCUAUAACCUUUCAAUAACAUCUGAUAUAUGUCUACACUAGCACCUGCACUUUAUUUCUGGUUUAUUAUGAUCUGCACCAUUUAAAACUUCUCUUCAAGCUUGUUCAGGAUCAGGACUGCAAUUUGUUGUUGCUUUCUGGGAAGAUAAGUGCAAAAGACCAGUAACUUCAAUCUACAUGAUUACCUCCUCCUUCACAUAGCAAUGUGAAGAUGCCUCUGAAGCUGCCAGCCACAGAUGCAGGCAAAACAUAAGGAGAAAAUGCUACUAGAAUAUGGCCAUACAGCCCGGAAAUCACGCAACACCCAAGCUCUCACCAUUUGACAACCUACACAAAGAAGGAGAUGGUUGAUUUUUCUGCAAAGCAUUAAGCUACAGCACUUACAUUGAUCCAUGGAUAAGUCGACCCAGGUUUUUGGAUCAAUUUUUUAAUUAAGAUUUCUAGAUUUGUGCUGUAUGUUUCAUAUAUACCUUAUACACAUAUCCUGAAGGUAAUCUUAUGCAAGAUUUCUAAUAAUAUUGAGCCUGAAACAAAGAUUGUGCAAAUUAAACUAUUGGAAAGCAAA